GAUGAACGCUAGCGGCAGGCUUAACACAUGCAAGUCGAGGGGUAGAGGUUGCUUGCAACCUUGAGACCGGCGCGCGGGUGCGUAACGCGUAUGCAACCUACCUUUUACAGAGGGAUAGCCCAGAGAAAUUUGGAUUAAUACCUCAUAGUAUAUAACCUUCGCAUGUUGGUUAUAUUAAAGUUCCAACGGUAAAAGAUGGGCAUGCGUCCUAUUAGCUAGAUGGUAAGGUAACGGCUUACCAUGGCAACGAUAGGUAGGGGUCCUGAGAGGGGGAUCCCCCACACUGGUACUGAGACACGGACCAGACUCCUACGGGAGGCAGCAGGGAGGAAUAUUGGACAAUGGGCGCAAGCCUGAUCCAGCCAUGCCACGUGCAGGAAGAAGCAUCUAUGGUGUGUAAACUGCUUUUGUACAGGAAGAAACACCCCGACGUGUCGGGGCUUGACGGUACUGUAAGAAUAAGGAUCGGCUAACUCCGUGCCAGCCGCCGCAGUAA
RNAcentral lists this ribosomal RNA (496 nucleotides) under uncultured bacterium. RNAcentral describes it as "partial 16S ribosomal RNA". It matches the Rfam family "Bacterial small subunit ribosomal RNA", at positions 28 to 523 of the family's 1533-position model. The record is from RNAcentral.